This 427-nucleotide ribosomal RNA is filed under the name uncultured bacterium. RNAcentral describes it as "bacterial SSU rRNA". It matches the Rfam family "Bacterial small subunit ribosomal RNA", at positions 355 to 796 of the family's 1533-position model. The record is from RNAcentral.
UGGGGAAUUUUGUGCAAUGGGGGAAACCCUGACACAGCGACACCGCGUGAGCGAAGAAGCCCUUUGGGGUGUAAAGCUCUGUCAGCUGGAACGAAAAAAAUGACGGUACCAGCAGAGGAAGCAUCGGCUAACUACGUGCCAGCAGCCGCGGUAAGACGUAGGAUGCAAGCGUUGUCCGGAUUUAUUGGGCGUAAAGAGUUCGUAGGCGGUUCGUUAAGUCUGAUGUUAAAGAUCGGGGCCCAACCCUGAGAGUGCAUUGGAUACUGGCGAACUGGAGUGCAGUAGAGGCGAGUGGAAUUCCCAGUGUAGCGGUGAAAUGCGUAGAUAUUGGGAAGAACACCGGUGGCGUAGGCGACUCGCUGGGCUGUAACUGACGCUGAGGAACGAAAGCCAGGGGAGCGAAUGGGAUUAGAUACCCCCGUAGUCC